Quercus robur (English oak) is the source of this 2176-nucleotide long non-coding RNA. RefSeq lists it as uncharacterized. The record is from RefSeq and is a predicted model, not a curated record. The transcript is spliced from 2 exons. Lineage: Eukaryota; Viridiplantae; Streptophyta; Magnoliopsida; Fagales; Fagaceae.
CUGCUUUCCAAAUCCCCAUCUUCAUCAAACUUCUAUAACAACAACAAAAAAUUCCUUCUUCGGAAAAUUCAUUAAAGUUCAAUUAAGGAUGAAUUAUAUUAAUUGAAAGGUCUACUUGCUUCUUUUGUAACUUGGAUCAGCCAAAUGCUACAGUUCAUUCUAGAGUCGGAAAUCCCAAAGGUAUUGACACAAAAUCCAAUCUUUAUCUUCUUUUUACAAGAAUUUUUAUUUUUUAAAUAAAAAAUUUAUUUAUAUUUUGUAAAUCAAUAGAAACAUUUUCAUUGUUGAUUUAGAUGUUAAAUUAUCUUGAUAUUGCAUACCACUUUAUUAGCAUACACUUUCACAACCCAAAAAAGUGUGCAGAGAAAAACUAUACUGGUUUUAUAUAGAGAAAAAGUGAUAUUUAUCAAAAAAAAAAAAAAAUAUAUAUAUAUAUAUAUAUAUAGAGAAAAAGUGAUAAGAAUAAUUGCAUGUAUUUUUUUUAUUUUACUUUUUUGUGUUUGAAAGUUACAGCAAUCUGUCUCUUACAAACAAACUAGAUCAAGCUUCCAUUUGCAAACAAAUUGGAGGCAUAUUAAAAUAAGAAAUAAAAACAUUUUUUUAUAUUUUGAUUACACUAUUUUAAUGUAUAAUCAAAAUAUACACACAUUAAAAUAUACUAUUUUAAUGUGUUGGGAAUGCAAAGAAAAAUAAAUCAACAUGUUGGAACUUGGAAACCAGCAAUCAUUCAAUCAACUACCUACUGUUUAGGUUCAUUAUUCAAUACAUUUUCAAAACCACAAACUCAUAACAUAAUUGAUAAAGGUAGAGUUACAGGACUUAACUCUUGGAAACUAGCAUAUAUCAUGGCAGAUUUUAAAACCACAAAGUCAUAUAGGUAGAGUUAUGAGGACUUAACUCUAGUAGACUACCCUAUAGCAUAGUAGAUAUAGAUCCUGUGCAUGCUCCCCUCCUCAAUUGUCUUCCUCUCUGAGCGCCGCGGCCUGUGCUUUGCCUCCCUGCGCUGCCUCCGCCUAUGUUAGUUCCAUCAAGUCAGUUUGGUACAUGAACUUAAACAUCAGUUUUCAGUUUUUAAACAACAUUACACGUAUUUUCACAUUUUUUUACUUUCACGUAUUUUCAAAAAAUACAAACAACAUUACCAAACGGGCCUUUAAUUUUGUCAGUCUAAACUUUUAAUUAUUUGAUUGGUUCAUACUAGAAACUUGCAAGCAUUAACAUUUGCAGUGAACUCAUUGACUCUACUUGCCUUGAUUUCCUUCUUGCAGGUAUUACAAAUAUAGUCGGUUGUUGGCAGGGAACGUUUGCCCUUCUUGUUUGUCCUCAGCAGGACACCGACUACUCCCCUAUUGGCCAUCCCGAAAUUCAAACAAAUAUUCAAAUUUAACUAAACAAUGUAAAGAAAUGCUCUUGCAAACAAACUGGAUUGGGCUGUUCCCAUCUCCAAUAUGCCUUCUCAGGCCUUUGUCAGGGAUGGGUGCAGCCCGAUCCAAUUUGUUUGCAGGAGCAUUUUUGUACAUUGUUUGAAUUUUAGGAUGGCCAACAGGGGAGUAGCCGGUGUCGUGCUGAGGACAAACAAGAAAGGCAAACGUCCUCGCCAACAACCGACUACAUUUGUAAUACCUACAAGAAGGAAAUCAAGGCAAGCAGAGUCAAUGAGUUCAUUGCACAUGUUAAUGCUUGCAAGUUUUUGGUAUGAACCAAUUAGAUAAUUAAAAGUUUAGACUGGCAAAAUUGAAGGCUUGUUUUUUAAUAAUGUUUGUAUUUUUUGGAAAUAAUUGUGGGUAAAAAAAGUGUGUGGAAAUACGUGUAAUGUUGUUUAAAAACUGAUGUGUAAGUUCAUGUACCAAACUGACUUGAUGGAAUUGACUUAGGCGGAGGCAGAGCGCAAGGUUGCGUCGCUCAAGGAGGAAGACAUCUGAGGAGGUGAGCAUGCACAGGAUCUAUAUACCCUUUGGUAUAGGGUAGUUUGCUUGAGUUAAGUCCUAAUAACUCUACUUAUAUUAAUUAAGACUUUUGUGGUUUUGAAAUCUGCUACGAUAUUGGCUAGUUUGCUAGAGUUAAGUCCUGUAACUCUACCUAUAUCAAUUAUGACUUUAUGGUUUUGAAAAUGUAUUGAAUAAUAAACCCAAACAGUACAGUAGUUGACUGAAUGAUUGUUGGUUUCCAAGUUCAA